RNAcentral lists this ribosomal RNA (253 nucleotides) under uncultured prokaryote. RNAcentral's name for it is "partial 16S ribosomal RNA". It matches the Rfam family "Bacterial small subunit ribosomal RNA", at positions 524 to 776 of the family's 1533-position model. The record is from RNAcentral.
UACGUAGGGUGCAGGCGUUGAUCGGAAUUACUGGGCGUAAAGCGUGCGCAGGCGGUUUGCUAAGACAGGGGUGAAAUCCCCGGGCUUAACCUGGGAACUGCGCUUGUAACUGGCAAGCUAGAGUGUGGCAGAGGGGGGUGGAAUUCCAGGUGUAGCAGUGAAAUGCGUAGAGAUCGAGAGGAACACCUGCGGCGAAGGCGGGUAGCUGGGCCGACACUGACGCUGAGGCGCGAAAGCCAGGGGAGCGAACGGG